RNAcentral lists this long non-coding RNA (344 nucleotides) under Vigna radiata. Its description in RNAcentral is "long non-coding RNA (VRAD_LNC014817)". Lineage: Eukaryota; Viridiplantae; Streptophyta; Magnoliopsida; Fabales; Fabaceae. The record is from RNAcentral.
GUGACACCUGGGCACUGACGAGGGCGGGGAGUGAUCGCCGGUACAAGAAGCAUGGUGCAUGGGGCACGGACAAGGAGCGGCUCCUGGCAGGCUUCGAGUGGAAGGGGCACAUGGACGAAUCGAACAUACACCGGAAUGAGAGGGAUCUGGAGAUUGUAUAGGUAUGGGACUAUACAGUUGAAGGAUAGCUUAAAGGAAUUGAUUUGACUACUCAUAUCAACAAAUGCAUUUGCUUUUCGGUAGCCUAACUCAUAAGAACUCCAUGGUUAAGCGUGCUUAGCCUAGAGUAAUUAUGGGAUGGGUGACCUUCCGGGAAGUUUUCUCGGAAAGUGUGUGAGUGAAGA